GAUGAACGCUGGCGGCGUGCCUAAUACAUGCAAGUCGAGCGAACAGACGAGGAGCUUGCUCCUCUGACGUUAGCGGCGGACGGGUGAGUAACACGUGGAUAACCUACCUAUAAGACUGGGAUAAAUUCGGGAAACCGGAGCUAAUACCGGAUAAUAUAUUGAACCGCAUGGUUCAAUAGUUAAAGACGGUUUUGCUGUCACUUAUAGAUGGAUCCGCGCCGCAUUAGCUAGUUGGUAAGGUAACGGCUUACCAAGGCAACGAUGCGUAGCCGACCUGAGAGGGUGAUCGGCCACACUGGAACUGAGACACGGUCCAGCCUCCUACGGGAGGCAGCAGUAGGGAAUCUUCCGCAAUGGGCGAAAGCCUGACGGAGCAACGCCGCGUGAGUGAUGAAGGUCUUCGGAUCGUAAAACUCUGUUAUUAGGGAAGAACAAAUGUGUAAGUAACUAUGCACGUCUUGACGGUACCUAAUCAGAAAGCCACGGCUAACUCCGUG
This 497-nucleotide ribosomal RNA is filed under the name uncultured bacterium. RNAcentral describes it as "partial 16S ribosomal RNA". It matches the Rfam family "Bacterial small subunit ribosomal RNA", at positions 28 to 507 of the family's 1533-position model. The record is from RNAcentral.